AUAAUGGGUCAGCGACUUAUAUUCUGUAGCAAGGUUAACCGAAUAGGGGAGCCGAAGGGAAACCGAGUCUUAACUGGGCGUUAAGUUGCAGGGUAUAGACCCGAAACCCGGUGAUCUAGCCAUGGGCAGGUUGAAGGUUGGGUAACACUAACUGGAGGACCGAACCGACUAAUGUUGAAAAAUUAGCGGAUGACUUGUGGCUGGGGGUGAAAGGCCAAUCAAACCGGGAGAUAGCUGGUUCUCCCCGAAAGCUAUUUAGGUAGCGCCUCGUGAAUUCAUCUCCGGGGGUAGAGCACUGUUUCGGCAAGGGGGUCAUCCCGACUUACCAACCCGAUGCAAACUGCGAAUACCGGAGAAUGUUAUCACGGGAGACACACGGCGGGUGCUAACGUCCGUCGUGAAGAGGGAAACAACCCAGACCGCCAGCUAAGGUCCCAAAGUCAUGGUUAAGUGGGAAACGAUGUGGGAAGGCCCAGACAGCCAGGAUGUUGGCUUAGAAGCAGCCAUCAUUUAAAGAAAGCGUAAUAGCUCACUGGUCGAGUCGGCCUGCGCGGAAGAUGUAACGGGGCUAAACCAUGCACCGAAGCUGCGGCAGCGACGCUUAUGCGUUGUUGGGUAGGGGAGCGUUCUGUAAGCCUGCGAAGGUGUGCUGUGAGGCAUGCUGGAGGUAUCAGAAGUGCGAAUGCUGACAUAAGUAACGAUAAAGCGGGUGAAAAGCCCGCUCGCCGGAAGACCAAGGGUUCCUGUCCAACGUUAAUCGGGGCAGGGUGAGUCGACCCCUAAGGCGAGGCCGAAAGGCGUAGUCGAUGGGAAACAGGUUAAUAUUCCUGUACUUGGUGUUACUGCGAAGGGGGGACGGAGAAGGCUAUGUUGGCCGGGCGACGGUUGUCCCGGUUUAAGCGUGUAGGCUGGUUUUCCAGGCAAAUCCGGAAAAUCAAGGCUGAGGCGUGAUGACGAGGCACUACGGUGCUGAAGCAACAAAUGCCCUGCUUCCAGGAAAAGCCUCUAAGCAUCAGGUAACAUCAAAUCGUACCCCAAACCGACACAGGUGGUCAGGUAGAGAAUACCAAGGCGCUUGAGAGAACUCGGGUGAAGGAACUAGGCAAAAUGGUGCCGUAACUUCGGGAGAAGGCACGCUGAUAUGUAGGUGAAGUCCCUCGCGGAUGGAGCUGAAAUCAGUCGAAGAUACCAGCUGGCUGCAACUGUUUAUUAAAAACACAGCACUGUGCAAACACGAAAGUGGACGUAUACGGUGUGACGCCUGCCCGGUGCCGGAAGGUUAAUUGAUGGGGU
RNAcentral lists this ribosomal RNA (1293 nucleotides) under Escherichia coli. RNAcentral describes it as "partial 23S ribosomal RNA". It matches the Rfam family "Bacterial large subunit ribosomal RNA", at positions 612 to 1890 of the family's 2925-position model. The record is from RNAcentral. Lineage: Bacteria; Pseudomonadati; Pseudomonadota; Gammaproteobacteria; Enterobacterales; Enterobacteriaceae.